GGGGAGUGGUGGGGACGACUGUUGGGACCGCCGUCUGCUAAAGAGGAGGAAGGAAUGGGCAACGGUAGGUCAGCAUGCCCCGAAUUAUCUGGGCGUACACGCGGGCUACAAUGGGUGGGACGAAUGGGUAUCGACACCGAAAGGUGAAGGCAAUCUCCUAAACCCAUCCGUAGUUCGGAUUGUGGGCUGCAACUCGCCCACAUGAAGCUGGAAUCUGUAGUAAUCGUGUCUCAAAAUGGCACGGUGAAUAUGUCCCUGCUCCUU
Molecule: ribosomal RNA, 264 nt
Filed under: uncultured Methanomicrobiales archaeon
Lineage: Archaea; Methanobacteriati; Methanobacteriota; Methanomicrobia; Methanomicrobiales
Description: partial 16S ribosomal RNA
Rfam family: Archaeal small subunit ribosomal RNA
Source: RNAcentral